UUACAGCCAUAUCAUACUGAAACACCAGUUCCCAUAUGAUCACAGAAGUUAAGCAAUGUUGAGCUUGGUCAGUAACUAGAUGGGUGGCUGCUUGGGAAUACCAGGUGCUGUAAG
Acanthosepion pharaonis is the source of this 114-nucleotide non-coding RNA. NCBI's taxonomy places the organism in Eukaryota, Metazoa, Mollusca, Cephalopoda, Sepiida, Sepiidae. The record is from the annotation of a GenBank genome assembly.